CGAGUGGCGGACGGGUGGGAGUAAUGCUUGGGAAUCUGGCUUAUGGAGGGGGAUAACGACGGGAAACUGUCGCUAAUACCGCGUAGUGUCGAGAGACGAAAGGGUGGGACUUUUAGCCACCUGCCAUAGGAUGAGCCCAAGUGGGAUUAGGUAGUUGGUGGGGUAAAGGUUCACCAAGCCUGCGAUCUCUAGCUGGUCUGAGAGGAUGACCAGCCACACUGGAACUGAGACACGGUCCAG
Molecule: ribosomal RNA, 240 nt
Filed under: uncultured Pasteurellales bacterium
Lineage: Bacteria; Pseudomonadati; Pseudomonadota; Gammaproteobacteria; Pasteurellales
Description: partial 16S ribosomal RNA
Rfam family: Bacterial small subunit ribosomal RNA
Source: RNAcentral